GGGAGGCAGCAGUGAGGAAUCUUGCGCAAUGGGGGCAAGCCUGACGCAGCGACGUCGCGUGGAGGAAGACGGCCUUCGGGUUGUAAACUCCUUUUAGUGGGGACGAGCAAGGACGGUACCCACUGAAUAAGCCCCGGCUAACUCCGUGCCAGCAGCCGCGGUAAUACGGAGGGGGCGAGCGUUGUCCGAAUUUAUUGGGCGUAAAGCGCGUGUAGGCGGACUUUUAAGCCUGAGGUGAAAGGUUGGGGCUCAACCCCAUACAGUGCCUUGGGGACUGAUCGUCUGGAGGCAGGCAGAGGAGUGUGGAAUUCCUGGUGUAGCGGUGGAAUGCGUAGAGAUCAGGAAGAACACCCAUGGCGAAGGCAGCACUCUGGGCCUGUACUGACGCUGAGACGCGAAAGCGCGGGGAGCGAACAGGAUUAGAUACCCGUGUAGUCU
RNAcentral lists this ribosomal RNA (438 nucleotides) under uncultured bacterium. RNAcentral's name for it is "bacterial SSU rRNA". It matches the Rfam family "Bacterial small subunit ribosomal RNA", at positions 343 to 796 of the family's 1533-position model. The record is from RNAcentral.